CCCUGCCAUUUGUACACACCGCCCGUCGCUCCUACCGAUUUCGAAUGGUCCGGUGAACCUUCUGGAGUGCCUCACGGCGCGAAGUUAAGUAAACCUUAUCAUUUAGAGGAAGGAGAAGUCGUAACAAG
This 128-nucleotide ribosomal RNA is filed under the name uncultured eukaryote. RNAcentral's name for it is "partial small subunit ribosomal RNA". It matches the Rfam family "Eukaryotic small subunit ribosomal RNA", at positions 1651 to 1798 of the family's 1831-position model. The record is from RNAcentral.